UACCAGACUCCUACGGGAGGCAGCAGUGAGGAAUAUUGGUCAAUGGGCGAGAGCCUGAACCAGCCAAGUCGCGUGAGGGAGUACUGCCCUAUGGGUUGUAAACCUCUUUUGUCGGGGAGCAAAAGCCGGACGUGUCCGGCUGUGAGAGUACCCGAAGAAAAAGCAUCGGCUAACUCCGUGCCAGCAGCCGCGGUAAUACGUAGGGGGCAAGCGUUAUCCGGAUUUACUGGGUGUAAAGGGAGCGUAGACGGAAAGGCAAGUCAGAAGUGAAAACCCAAGGCUCAACCAUGGGACUGCUUUUGAAACUGUCAAACUAGAGUACGGGAGAGGUAAGAGGAAUUCCUAGUGUAGCGGUGAAAUGCGUAGAUAUCAGGAGGAACACCGGUGGCGAAGGCGGCCUGCUGGACUGCGACUGACGUUGAGGCCCGAAAGCGUGGGGAGCAAACAGGAUUAGAUACCCUCGUAA
Molecule: ribosomal RNA, 466 nt
Filed under: uncultured bacterium
Lineage: Bacteria
Description: partial 16S ribosomal RNA
Rfam family: Bacterial small subunit ribosomal RNA
Source: RNAcentral